This 284-nucleotide long non-coding RNA is filed under the name Hordeum vulgare. Its description in RNAcentral is "long non-coding RNA (HVUL_LNC003440)". The record is from RNAcentral. Lineage: Eukaryota; Viridiplantae; Streptophyta; Magnoliopsida; Poales; Poaceae.
AUGUUUACAUAAGGGAUUAUAGAGGUUUGUGGGAGAGUGGACCGCUGUAGCUAUGGCGGAGAUGAUGAUGGAGGUGUUGGUGAAGGCGGCAUCAUGGCGGAGAGGAUGGAGAAGGGGCAGCACGUGAGGUGCAGGGCGGCGCCGGCGGCGCACGAGGCUCCUCCUGCGCCGGCCUGCCAUCACGGGGGAGCGCCGCCCAUUAGCCCCCUUCCUCCAUGUCUUCUUGGUGCUGUAGAUGAGCCCUCCCCCAUGGAGAUCAGGCUAUGGGGGAGGCAAAAUUCGUG